Molecule: long non-coding RNA, 2761 nt
Organism: Ictalurus punctatus (channel catfish)
Lineage: Eukaryota; Metazoa; Chordata; Actinopteri; Siluriformes; Ictaluridae
Source: Ensembl
AGCAAUCGGGAGCAAUUUGGGGUUUGGUGUCUUGCCCAAGGACACUUCGGCAUGUGGAUGUCAUGUGGGCCGGGAAUCGAACCGCCGACCCUGGUUACGCCUCAUGGUUUUACAUUUGCUUUGUCUUCUGAAACCUCGCCCUCUGCAUUUAAACACAUUUUGGAGAAAAUGAAACUAAGGGGAGGAAACGUACACGAGCAGCUCUCAGCAGUGUGAGGUGUAAUACACCUGAAGACUGUGUUUUCAUUAAGAAAUGGCUGAUGACUCAUCAGAUUUCUGUUGAGACAGAUGUAAAUGCAGGCAGAGCAGUUCAAUGGAAACGAGACAAACACUGAGCAAACUCACAGGUCUAAGUUCUCCUGACACACCAGAAACAUAUGAUUAUCACCCAGUAAAAGAAAUGGGCACAGCUACUGGGAACAAUCCCUCACAGACCAUAGAGGAUACAACAAAGCAAACGUGCAAAAUCAAGAAAAAUAAGAAGGAAAAGAAAGAAAAACAUCUGCAUAUGAAAGUUAAUUAUGAAAAGAAAGAAAAGAAUCUGGAAGCAAGAGAGAUUGCUGUAGAAAAGAGAGAAACCCAUCAGAAUAGAAGAGAAAUUCAUCUGGAAGAGAGAGAAAAGCAUCUGAAUGAAAAAGAAACGAAUUUAGCAGAAAAAGAAAAGCACCUACAACAAAAAGAAAUUACUUUGCAAGAGAAAGGAAAGCAUCUGGAUGGAAAAGAAGUUCAGUUUGAAGAAAAAGAAAAGCAUCUGAAUGGAAAAGAAGUUCAAUUUGAAGAGAAAGAAAAACAACUGUUUGUAAGAGAGAUUAAUUUGGGGAAAAGAUCAAAAUAUCUAGAUGGAAGAGAGACUCGCUUGCAAGAGAGAACAAAACAUCUGGAAGAAAAAGACAUUUCUUUAGAAGAAAGCUUAAAGCAUCUGUUGGGGAGAGAGAAUAGUUUGCAAGAGAGAACAAAACAUCUGGAAGAAAAAGAAGUUUCUUUAGAUGAACGUUUAAAGCAUCUGUUGGUGAGAGAGAAUAGUUUGCAAGAGAGAGGAAAGUGUCUGGAUGGAAGAGAGGUUCAACUGGAAAAGAGGGAAAUGCGUAUAGAUAGAAGAGAGAGUCGUGUGGAUGAGAGAGAACAGCGCCUGGAGGGAAAGGAGAUUCGUUUGGAAGAGAAAGAAAAAAAUCUUGCACAACAUGACCUGAGACAUCUUAAUUCUGCAGAUAGAGAAAAUGAAAAACAGGAAAGAAGUUCAUUCAUGAAAAGUUCCAAGAAGCAAAAGAGAGAACAUCCUGAUGAAGAAGAGAAAGAGCACUCUGUUGAUGAGUAACCCAUUCAGUGUAGAAACAGACAGUAGACCUGUGCAUGAACACCGGCUGGAAGAAGAAACCUUCAGGUGGAAGAAGAGGAAGAAAUUAGUACCUUACCUGAAUAUAUACUGGAUCUGUACGUGACUUGAAUAGAGAUCAGAACAUUAUUCUGAUAAUAAUAUUUUUAACAAAGGCCACGUUAAAAUAAAGAGGACACAAACUCAACAGUCGAGCAUGAACAACCACUUAUCAAAACUACUUAAUAUUAUGUGUGUCCUGUGAACCGAGCAGCCAGCCAAAUUCCCAUUCCUGAGUCAGGCAACAAAACUGUAAAAAACAAACAAACAAAAAACUUGCUGAUACGACAUACGCCUGUGAUGUUUAUGUGAAAAAAAAAAAACUAAUGUAAAAAUUAGGUUUUUUUUUUUUUUUAAUUUUUAAAAAAAUGCUUUAAAAAAAUAUUUUUAAAAUUUAAAUUUAACUUUAAUGAAAUUUAACUUUAAUUAAUUUUAAAAAAAUAAUUUUUAAUACUUACAUACAUACUGUACAUACAGUACUGUGCAAAAGUUUUAGGCAUAUGCAAAGAAAUGCUGUAGAUGCCUUCAAAAUACUGAAAUACAGUAAAGAGCAGUAAACAGUAGUAAAUGACACAAAGUCAAUAUUUAGUGUGACAAAAAAUAAAAAUAAAAAUAGUAGUCUCAGGUAGAGUUAGUGCAGUUUUAUAAGGAAAUGAGCUGUAAUUUUAUUGAGCAUCUUGCAGAAUGCCGCUUUCUUUACUGAUGAACAUUUUUCUGUAACAUUAAUUUUGUGCUGGAAAACUAAUGUUUGGGAAUCUAAAAUGUGUUUGUACUGACUCGAUAUGUCGAAGUCAUCAAAUAAAAAUCUGUAACAAAGUUUGUACUAAAAAAAAAAUAGGUGCCUAAAACUUUUGCACAGUACUGUAUGUAUUUUUCUUUAGGUUUUUAGUUCCCAAAAUCCUUAGGCAUAUUUGUAUACUAAUAUAUGUAUUUUGUUGUUAUACAUUUUUUUUAGAUUUAAAUUCGCAUUCACUGCUAUUUUUAGUUCUGCUUGCCAAUACCAAGAGGCAGGUUGACUGUGGGGGAAAGUGGGAGGUUUUGUGCUCGUUUUCUUUACUUCCUUAUUCAUAAUUACAUCUUUCUUUCUUUCUAUUAUAUUAUAUAUUUAUUUCUAUCUUUAUUUCAAUUAUUCAGCUGGCCUUGUCUUUAAUGUCAUACUUUGAAAUGUUUUGUCCCCCCCCCCCGUACCCGAUUCUCCCUGGGAUAGGCUCCAGGUUCCCCGUGACCCUGAAAAGGAUAAGCGGUAUAGAGGAUGGAUGGAUAGAUUUAUUUGUUAAUAUAUAUUCUGAUUCAUUAAACUCAUUUUCGGGAAACUGUGUCCCUUGUGCCUUGACUGCCUCGAACCCUCACAAACAGCUUAACCAAAUCAUAAGUCUGCUAUUACCUACU